AAAAACAACCUACUCUGCGAAAAACAAUUCAAAUGAACGACACUAAAUAGGGAUCUCCUAUCCCGGAACACUCGAUCCCGCUGAGUGAUUCACAUAACAAACCGAACCAAUCAGGUGAUUCGAAGCAGUUGAGUGCUUCAAACGUCACUGAAGUGAUUCAAACGUCACGAGUCACGUGACCAAACCACGCCUCGGCACAGUGGCUCGAUAUGUUUGCUUCAUGAGCUACAGCGCAUGUGUCGAAGCCUCGGGUAUCAGAGGACCAUCAUUAACUGAAAGGGCUCUGAUAGUUCAUCUUGGUCUGGAUCAUUGGGAACAUCUAGUCUGAUCGACUGAGAGCUACAGAGAACAUGAACAUCCAGCUGUGGUUGUCUGAAGUCUUUUCUCCUUCAUCAUUGUGAGGAAGAGCAGCACUGAUGUCCUCCUCAUCCUUCCAGUAAUAACAAUAAUGCUGCAGAUUCAGCUCCUCUCUUCAUAAUACAACUUGUCUUGUGACUGUUCAGUUUUUACACUUCACUGUCAGCAACACAUUAUAUAUUUCAUCCAUUUAUUACAUGUGUUUACACAUCUUUACAGUUCACAAUAGUUAAAUAAUGUAGUUUUAAAAUGUGCAAUAAAGGUAAUAAUGAAGCUCC
This is a long non-coding RNA of Amphiprion ocellaris (clown anemonefish), 635 nucleotides long. RefSeq lists it as uncharacterized. Lineage: Eukaryota; Metazoa; Chordata; Actinopteri; Pomacentridae. The transcript has 2 exons. The record is from RefSeq and is a predicted model, not a curated record.